Molecule: ribosomal RNA, 388 nt
Filed under: uncultured bacterium
Lineage: Bacteria
Description: bacterial SSU rRNA
Rfam family: Bacterial small subunit ribosomal RNA
Source: RNAcentral
AUUGAACGCUGGCGGCAUGCCUUACACAUGCAAGUCGAACGGCAGCACGGGAGCAAUCCUGGUGGCGAGUGGCGAACGGGUGAGUAAUAUAUCGGAACGUGCCCAGUCGUGGGGGAUAACGUAGCGAAAGUUACGCUAAUACCGCAUACGAUCUAAGGAUGAAAGCGGGGGAUCGCAAGACCUCGCGCGAUUGGAGCGGCCGAUAUCAGAUUAGGUAGUUGGUGAGGUAAAGGCUCACCAAGCCAACGAUCUGUAGCUGGUCUGAGAGGACGACCAGCCACACUGGAACUGAGACACGGUCCAGACUCCUACGGGAGGCAGCAGUGGGGAAUUUUGGACAAUGGACGCAAGUCUGAUCCAGCCAUUCCGCGUGCAGGAUGAAGGCCCU